Molecule: long non-coding RNA, 828 nt
Organism: Macadamia integrifolia
Lineage: Eukaryota; Viridiplantae; Streptophyta; Magnoliopsida; Proteales; Proteaceae
Exons: 3
Source: RefSeq, a predicted model, not a curated record
UCCUGUCUCUAUUUUCUCCCCUCACUCAAACGUUGGGGGUUGGAAAUCCCACCGCAUGAGUUCCCUUUUGCUUCAUGCCUCCAUCCCUUCUUGGCCAUCACUCUACAUCGCUGGAGAAAUCAUAGGUAGCUUCUAUGAUUUCUUUCUCGCAUCCCAUCGUUGAUCAUCUCAGGCGAAGCCCAAAAAAUACAACAAUGGGUAUUUAUUCUUCCCGCCCCACCCUAUCUUCUCUCUCUUGGACAUUAAGGUUUGGAAAUCCCAUCGCCUGAGUACUCUAUGCAUCACUCCUUUGGAUAUCACUCUGCAUUGUUUGAGAAGAAAUCACUGUCAACAGCUGUCGGAGUUUCAGAUUUCUUUGUUGGAUGGAAGCAUACAUCCCCAAAGCCUCGACAGAUUUGGAUGUUGAGUCAAAUGUCUUAUUGACGUCAGGAAUUGGGCUGCCUAUUCUCUUUUCCAGCAACUUCUUCUAAAAAUAAUGGAGUUCUCCCCAGCCUACAUGUGUAAGUUGCUGUAUCAACAAAUUGAGGAAGAAGAAAUUGAAAAGCCAUCACUUUCUUUUUACCUUCCAUACUUGAGAAGGAUGUCUUCAGUUAUCAUUCUUUUUUCAGCAUUUUUUUUCCCCUUUCUUUCUUAUUGCCAUGUAAUGUUAAUGAUCACCUUACAAAAAUUUGUUCAACUUCAUUACUUAUGCUUUGAAGCUUUCAUGUAUCUUAAAUUUCAUGUGUAACAAAUAUCUUCCUUUAGCCCAUGAGUAUUCUGGGUUAACUUUGUUGAGCAUUUUCAACUUUGGAAGUAGUUGUUAUUUUAGUUAAAUGUCAUGGUUAGUCA